ACGGGAGGCAGCAGUGAGGAAUAUUGGUCAAUGGGCGGAAGCCUGAACCAGCCAAGUCGCGUGAAGGAUGAAGGUAUUAUGUAUUGUAAACUGCUUUUAUGUGAGAAUAAAGAGAGCCACGUGUGGCUUAUUGCAUGUAUCAUAUGAAUAAGGACCGGCUAAUUCCGUGCCAGCAGCCGCGGUAAUACGGAAGGUCCGGGCGUUAUCCGGAUUUAUUGGGUUUAAAGGGAGCGUAGGCGGCCUUUUAAGCGUGUUGUGAAAUGUCCCGGCUCAACCGUGGCACUGCAGCGCGAACUGGAGGGCUUGAGUGCGCCGGAAGUAGGCGGAAUUCGUUGUGUAGCGGUGAAAUGCUUAGAUAUGACGAAGAACUCCGAUUGCGAAGGCAGCUUACUGUCGCGUAACUGACGCUGAAGCUCGAAAGUGCGGGUAUCGAACAGGAUUAGAUACCCUGGUA
Molecule: ribosomal RNA, 454 nt
Filed under: uncultured Prevotella sp.
Lineage: Bacteria; Pseudomonadati; Bacteroidota; Bacteroidia; Bacteroidales; Prevotellaceae
Description: bacterial SSU rRNA
Rfam family: Bacterial small subunit ribosomal RNA
Source: RNAcentral